GAUGAAGAACGUAGUGAAAUGCGAUAAGUAAUGUGAAUUGCAGAAUUCAGUGAAUCAUCGAGUCUUUGAACGCACAUUGCGCCCCCUGGUAUUCCGGGGGGCAUGCCUGUCCGAGCGUCAUUGCUGCCCUCAAGCACGGCUUGUGUGUUGGGCCCCCGUCCCCGGUUUCCCCCGGGGACGGGCCCGAAAGGCAGCGGCGGCACCGCGUCCGGUCCUCGAGCGUAUGGGGCUUUGUCACCCGCUCUGUAGGCCCGGCCGGCGCCAGCCGACACCCAACUUUAUUUCUAAGGUUGACCUCGGAUCAGGUAGGGAUACCCGCUGAACUUAAGCAUAUCAAUAGCGGAGGA
RNAcentral lists this unclassified non-coding RNA (347 nucleotides) under soil metagenome. Its description in RNAcentral is "partial contains 5.8S ribosomal RNA, internal transcribed spacer 2, and large subunit ribosomal RNA". The stretch from base 1 to 120 matches the Rfam family "5.8S ribosomal RNA", at positions 35 to 154 of the family's 154-position model. The record is from RNAcentral.